GGGCUUGACAUCCCACGAACCUGCCCGAAAGGGUGGGGUGCCCGCAAGGGAGCGUGGAGACAGGUGGUGCGUGGCUGUCGUCAGCUCGUGUCGUGAGAUGUUGGGUUAAGUCCCGCAACGAGCGCAACCCUCACCCCUUGUUGCCACCGGGUAACGCCGAGCACUCUAGGGGAACUGCUAGCGUCAAGCGGGAGGAAGGCGGGGAUGACGUCAAGUCAUCAUGCCCCUUACGCCCUGGGCUACACACGUGCUACAAUGGGGACUACAAAGGGACGCAAAGCCGCGAGGUGGAGCAAAACUCAAAAACGGCCUCUAAGUUCAGAUUGCAGUCUGCAACUCGGCUGCAUGAAGGAGGAAUCGCUAGUAAUCGCGCAUCAGCACGGCGCGGUGAACACGUUCCCGGGCCUUGUACACACCGCCCGUCACACCACGAAAGCCGGCUGUACUCGAAGUCGCUGAG
This 460-nucleotide ribosomal RNA is filed under the name uncultured Methylomirabilota bacterium. Its description in RNAcentral is "bacterial SSU rRNA". It matches the Rfam family "Bacterial small subunit ribosomal RNA", at positions 977 to 1434 of the family's 1533-position model. The record is from RNAcentral. Lineage: Bacteria; Methylomirabilota (SeqCode).